UAGGGAAUUUUCGGCAAUGGGCGCAAGCCUGACCGAGCAACGCCGCGUGAACGAUGAAGGUCUUAUGGAUUGUAAAGUUCUGUUACGAGGGAAGAACAGCACUGAUAGGAAAUGAUCAGUGUGUGACGGUACCUCGCCAGAAAGCCACGGCUAACUACGUGCCAGCAGCCGCGGUAAUACGUAGGUGGCAAGCGUUAUCCGGAAUCAUUGGGCGUAAAGGGUGCGUAGGCGGCUUCUUAAGUUUGUAGUGAAAUCGUAGGGCUCAACUCUAUCUAGCUACAAAAACUGGGAAGCUGGAGUGCGGUAGAGGCUAGUGGAAUUCCUAGUGUAGCGGUAAAAUGCGUAGAUAUUAGGAGGAACACCGGUGGCGAAGGCGACUAGCUGGGCCGUAACUGACGCUGAGGCACGAAAGCGUGGGGAGCAAAUAGG
Molecule: ribosomal RNA, 429 nt
Filed under: uncultured bacterium
Lineage: Bacteria
Description: bacterial SSU rRNA
Rfam family: Bacterial small subunit ribosomal RNA
Source: RNAcentral